UAGCUCAUUACAACAGCCACCGUUUACUAGAAAAUCAGUAUCCUACUCGGAUAACUGUGGCAAUUCUAGAGCUAAUACGUGCGAAAAAGCUCGUUUCGCAAGAUUCGAGCGCAUUUAUUAGAAUAAAAACCAAUCGGGCCCAUAAAGCUCGUAAUUUGGUGAAUCUGAAUAACUUUGCCGAUCGCACGGUCCUAGUACCGGCGACGUAUCUUUCAAGUGUCUGCCUUAUCAACUUUCGAUGGUAGGUUAUACGCCUACCAUGGUAGUAACGGGUAACGGAGAAUAAGGGUUCGACUCCGGAGAGGGAGCCUGAGAAACGGCUACCACAUCCAAGGAAGGCAGCAGGCGCGCAAAUUACCCACUUCCAGAACGGAGAGGUAGUGACGAAAAAUAACGAGACAGUCCUCUUCGAGGUCUGUCAUCGGAAUGGGUACAAUUUAAAUCCUUUAACGAGGAUCUAUUGGAGGGCAAGUCUGGUGCCAGCAGCCGCGGUAAUUCCAGCUCCAAUAGCGUAUAUUAAAGUUGUUGCGGUUAAAACGCUCGUAGUUGGAUCUGCGGCCUCGGAGAACGGUCCCCCGAAAGGGCGGUCACUGUUACUCCAAGCCUAAAUAUCUAGUCUACUCUACGGUGCUCUUAACCGAGUGCCUAGAGUGACUGGAACGUUUACUUUGAAAAAAUUAGAGUGCUUAAAGCAGGCGAAAUAGCCUGAAUAAGGUGCAUGGAAUAAUGGAAUAGGACCUCGGUUCUAUUUUGUUGGUUUUCGGAGCCCGAGGUAAUGAUUAAGAGGAACAGACGGGGGCAUUCGUAUUCCGGCGCUAGAGGUGAAAUUCUUGGACCGCCGGAAGACGGACGACUGCGAAAGCAUUUGCCAAGAAUGUUUUCAUUAAUCAAGAACGAAAGUUAGAGGUUCGAAAGGCGAUCAGAUACCG
Molecule: ribosomal RNA, 929 nt
Filed under: Xiphinema diffusum
Lineage: Eukaryota; Metazoa; Nematoda; Enoplea; Dorylaimida; Longidoridae
Description: SSU rRNA
Rfam family: Eukaryotic small subunit ribosomal RNA
Source: RNAcentral